Molecule: ribosomal RNA, 395 nt
Filed under: uncultured bacterium
Lineage: Bacteria
Description: bacterial SSU rRNA
Rfam family: Bacterial small subunit ribosomal RNA
Source: RNAcentral
AUUGAACGCUGGCGGCAUGCCUAACACAUGCAAGUCGAACGGCAGCACGGCAGUAGCAAUACUGUGGGUGGCGAGUGGCGGACGGGUGAGGAAUACGUCGGAAUCUGCCCAGUCGUGGGGGAUAACUAGCCGAAAGGUUAGCUAAUACCGCAUACGACCGAGAGGUGAAAGCGGGGGACCGCAAGGCCUCGCGCGAUUGGAUGAGCCGACGUCGGAUUAGCUAGUUGGUGGGGUAAAGGCCCACCAAGGCGACGAUCCGUAGCUGGUCUGAGAGGAUGAUCAGCCACACUGGAACUGAGACACGGUCCAGACUCCUACGGGAGGCAGCAGUGGGGAAUAUUGGACAAUGGGCGCAAGCCUGAUCCAGCAAUGCCGCGUGUGUGAAGAAGGCCUCG